RNAcentral lists this ribosomal RNA (432 nucleotides) under uncultured bacterium. RNAcentral describes it as "partial 16S ribosomal RNA". It matches the Rfam family "Bacterial small subunit ribosomal RNA", at positions 29 to 506 of the family's 1533-position model. The record is from RNAcentral.
AACGAACGCUGGCGGCAUGCCUAGCACAUGCAAGUCGAACGAGACCUUCGGGUCUAGUGGCGCACGGGUGCGUAACGCGUGGGAACCUGCCCUUAGGUUCGGAAUAACUCCCCGAAAGGGGUGCUAAUACCGGAUAAUGUCUUCGGACCAAAGAUUUAUCGCCUUUGGAUGGGCCCGCGUUGGAUUAGCUAGUUGGUAGGGUAAAAGCCUACCAAGGCGACGAUCCAUAGCUGGUCUGAGAGGAUGAUCAGCCACACUGGGACUGAGACACGGCCCAGACCCCUCGGGGGGGGAGCAGGGGGGAAAUUUGGAAAAGGGGCGAAAGCCUGACCCAGCAAUGCCGGGUGAGGGAUGAAGGCCUUAGGGUUGUAAAGCUUUUUUACCCGGGAUGAUAAUGACAGUACCGGGAAAAAAAGCCCCGGCUAACUCCGU